Molecule: ribosomal RNA, 253 nt
Filed under: uncultured bacterium
Lineage: Bacteria
Description: partial 16S ribosomal RNA
Rfam family: Bacterial small subunit ribosomal RNA
Source: RNAcentral
UACGUAGGGGGCAAGCGUUGUCCGGAAUCAUUGGGCGUAAAGAGCGUGUAGGCGGCUUGGUAAGUCCGCUGUGAAAGUCCAGGGCUCAACCCUGGAAAGCCGGUGGAAACUGUCGGGCUUGAGUACGGAAGAGGCGAGUGGAAUUCCUGGUGUAGCGGUGAAAUGCGCAGAUAUCAGGAGGAACACCAAUUGCGAAGGCAGCUCGCUGGGACGUUACUGACGCUGAGACGCGAAAGCGUGGGGAGCAAACAGG